This 239-nucleotide ribosomal RNA is filed under the name uncultured bacterium. RNAcentral's name for it is "partial 16S ribosomal RNA". It matches the Rfam family "Bacterial small subunit ribosomal RNA", at positions 29 to 251 of the family's 1533-position model. The record is from RNAcentral.
AGCGAACGCUGGCGGCGUGCUUAACACAUGCAAGUCGAGCGAGAAAGGGGGCUUCGGCCCCUGAGUACAGCGGCGAACGGGUGCGUAAUACAUGAGUAAUCUACCCUUGAGGCGGGAAUAACCCAGCGAAAGUUGGGCUAAUACCGGAUAAGACCACAAGAGGAGACCCUAGAGGUUAAAGGCAGCUUUCUUUGGGUAGCGGCCCUUCGAGGAGGAGCUCAUGUCCUAUCAGCUAGNGG